Molecule: transfer RNA, 73 nt
Filed under: Bacteroidota bacterium
Lineage: Bacteria; Pseudomonadati; Bacteroidota
Description: tRNA-Arg
Rfam family: tRNA
About the family: Transfer RNA (tRNA) molecules are approximately 80 nucleotides in length. Their secondary structure includes four short double-helical elements and three loops (D, anti-codon, and T loops).
Source: RNAcentral
GCCCUCGUAGCUCAGUGGAUAGAGCGUUGGUUUCCUAAACCAUGCGUCGCAGGUUCGAUUCCUGCCGAGAGUA